UUCAGUUCUUUUCAUUCACAGUUCUCCUCAUAGCUGGUUGAUUUGAUUCAUGGCUCUUAAUGCUUUAGUGAAGAUAUUUUUUUACUCGCUAUUGCAAAAAAUGAAUGGAAAAAAAUACUUCCAGAACCAGUGUUGCUGAAAAAGUGGCGACAGUGACUAAAGUAAGUAUCAGUGUGAUUAAUUGUGAUUUAACUACCGCACUGUGUGAACGUAACCGUAUUAAGGACUGGUAACCGUAUUCUGCUGCUGUCUGAAUGUGGCCAUAGAUUACUUUAAGAGAUUCUUUUACCCCCAAAAAAACAUGCAUUUAUAUUUGAAGGAAUCUGGAAAAAAUACUCCAAAUCCACUAUUAUGCUGUUGUUACUUACGUAAAACAAAAGAAAUGUUUGUUUUUUCAAUCAAUUUUGGAAUAUGGCAUGCCACCCUGCACAUGACAGGAAAAAUUAAGAUACUGUGUCCACAAAUUAAGACUGUUUUCCCACUUCUUAUUUAUUUGUGGCCAAGUGUACCAGUUUAUUCCCUCAAUUUUGGUAUAUCGUGGUCAUGUUGCACUUAUUUGUCUUCAUGUCAGAAAAUUCUGGGAAGGUUUGGAACGACACAAGUUUUUCCAUUUAGUGGCCAAGUUAUUUUAAUGAAUUCCUUUUAAUUUAAUUUAAUUUUAUGCCAUGAUUUAACCAAAAGGAGUAAACAAAUUAAUACACUCAGACAAUUAACUGAAAACAAGGGAUCAAACUUAUAAUUUGUGGGAAAUCAUUCUUAAAUCCAUGAUAUCUUGUGUUUCCCUGCAUGUCAUGUGCGGAGCAGCGUGAACAUUUGUCAAAAUAUCUCAUUAGUGUUUGAAAGACAUGAUCAUGUUAUUGUUGAGAGGAACAUUGCUUUAAAGCCAUUUUCAGUAAAUAAAAGGUAAUGGCUAUAAA
Long non-coding RNA from Carassius carassius (crucian carp), 917 nucleotides. RefSeq lists it as uncharacterized. The record is from RefSeq and is a predicted model, not a curated record. The transcript is spliced from 2 exons. NCBI's taxonomy places the organism in Eukaryota, Metazoa, Chordata, Actinopteri, Cypriniformes, Cyprinidae.